GUCUCCUUGGGGACAUUUGAUAAAAUUGGAAUGAUAUAGAGAAGUUUAAUAUGGCCCCUGUGUAAGGAUGACACACACACACAAAUUUGGAAAGAAAGAAAAAUAUAUUU
RNAcentral lists this small nuclear RNA (110 nucleotides) under Triticum aestivum (bread wheat). RNAcentral also lists the same sequence under 2 other names. Lineage: Eukaryota; Viridiplantae; Streptophyta; Magnoliopsida; Poales; Poaceae. The record is from RNAcentral.